RNAcentral lists this long non-coding RNA (5192 nucleotides) under Homo sapiens (human). Its description in RNAcentral is "HSALNT0399999". Lineage: Eukaryota; Metazoa; Chordata; Mammalia; Primates; Hominidae. The record is from RNAcentral.
AAACAAUUGAUUUGCACCUGGGGCCACCAUCUGUGUGUAUUUGCACAACCUCCCCAUAGCUGCAUGGGUUUUCUCUGAGUACUCUAGUUUGCUCUCUCAUUCCAAAGUCAUGCACAUUAGGUUAAUUGGCAUGUCUACAUGGACUCAGUGUGAGUGAAUGUGAGCAUGGGUGUGAGUGUGCUCUGCCAUGAGAGAUUGUCCUGUUCAGGGCUGGUUCCCACCUCACUCCGUGAGCUGCUGGGAUGGGCUCUGGCCACCCAUGACCAUGAACUGGAAAUAAGCAGGUAUGGACAAGGUUCUGACCCUUAUUAUUGGAACUCAAAUCCAGAUGGAGUUUGCUCCUGGUAACCUCGAUUCUACAUUGUCUCUACAAAUUUGCCUAUUCUAGGGUACCUAAUGAGAAGGGCCUGUAAAUUACUAUCUGUGGAUCAAAUCUUGCCUGCCACUUGUUUUGUAAAUAAAGUUUUAUUGGAAUAUAUGCAUGCUCAUUUGUUUAUGUACUGUUUUCAUGUUGCAGUGGCAGAGUUGAGUAGUUCUAACAUAGACUGUAUGGCUUCCAAAGCCUAAAAUAUUUACUAUUUUGCUCUUUACAAAAAAGUUUGCUGACUCCUGCUCUAAGAAGCUUUCAAAUAGAUUUAUAUCUAAAAUGCAGCAAUGGCCAAAUUUAUAGUAAUGAUUUCUUUUGCCAGGAAGAUGGAAGGUUUUCUUACUGUAAAACAUUUGCAGAUUUUAAUACUUCUCUCUGCCAUGCCUUGUUUAACAGACAGAUAGGCAUGGAGAAGGCACCAUGUGGCAGUAAGGGAGGUGGGUGCUAAGGGUGUAUCACAACACUGGGAAGCAUAUUCCUUAACAUUAGGAGUUUAUGUGAUUUAGCUGAAGAGAGAACACCUGUAUUAGUUAAAAGGGAAUAUUUAGCAGCAUUUAAACAAAAGCUAUUUCACAUGUCACUAAGUAUACUAUAAGAAUUUCCAGAAAGAAGUAUCAUCCUUUGUCUAAUAGUUCAGAGGAUUUCUAUUAGUAAAUGAAAAAUGACAGCCUCAUUUUAUCCUCCAAAUAUGUCAAAAUUAUCUUGAGUUGUUGGGUACCAGAACUGAUAGGUGUCAUGUAUUUAAGCCCAUUUGAAAAAUACAUUUCAAUAAUGGAGUGAGACUCUGUCUCAAAAAAAUUUCAAAUGUCUUUUCUCAAUUGAAAAAACCUAUUAUUUCUAGAUAGAUAAGUAAAUAACCUUUGCAAACUCGAGCCACACUUUUCCCCUUUCUUUUAAAAUUCAGCUUAAUAUAAUUGAAAACUGAAGUCUGACUCUCCAAGCCUAUAAGGGAUAAAAGAGAGACAGGAUAGAUAGAAAUAACUGGCAACGAGGAGUUACUGGGCUUUGGCUCCAUGGGAGACAAUAGUGGUUUCAUAGAAGGCAAUGGUGGACUCUUAGUCAACUGAAGCUUGGGUGGAACUUAGCUGCAUAAUUAAGAAGCUGAAUCUGUUUUAUUUUAUUUUUCUAUAACAUAAAGAGUGUGAAAAGGUCAUUUUAAUGUUCAGAGAGUGGCUUCUCUUGGAAAAUAUCCCCGAACAUACCAUGGAGCAGUGUCAACUGUAGUAUAAAAUGUCCUAGAAAUCUUGCAAUUUAUGAGUUUAAUGGCACACCUGAGGAUUACGAGGUUUUUUCCGUCCACUCAUAAUAGCCCGGUGACUGAUUUAGCAGAGAGGAAGCAAAAUGAACAAUCUUGAUCACCUUUUAACAUUUUUCCUGUCUUGCUGACUUCAGAGCUUUAGGGGUACAGCAUUUGCAGGAAUUGUAUGUCUUUUUGGCAAUACUUUAAAAUCAAACUCAAAAGAUGAAGAAGAAAAAUGGUUAUUAGAUAGUUAUAAAUAUGUCAUUAUUUGCAAAUGGUAUUGCUUUGUGGAUAUGAAGCUCUUCAUUGCUCAUCUGUUUUUAAGUUCAACGAUCCACAUAUAAAGGUGUAAGGACUUAUUGACAUUGUGCUUCCUCUCUGUUGACACCAUUAGCCCGAGAACUAAGGACAAUGGAUAGCUGUAUAUAAGUUCAAGUUCUGCAUCUACUUCUUAGUUUCCCUUUCCAUCCUUCAGUUGUGUUUGUUUUUUUUUUGAAAUCUGUAAAGUAGGAAUAAUAAUAAAGUUACUAUUCUUUGUAGGGUUUUGAAGGAUUUUCUUGAGAUAAUGUAAAGUACCAGGCAUAUAAUUAGCCUAAAUGUAACUCAACCGUGUUUUUUUAUUUUAAUAUACAUGUCACUACCCAUCUCUAGUGCAGAGAAUCAACAGAAUACAAAUAAUUUUGAAGAUUCAUAUAAUAUUCACACGUUGCAAAAUCUUGUUUGUGGAGCCCUCAUUGUAGCCUGUAUGAUUCAAACGAUGCCACGUAGUCCUUUAAACAUUUCCAGAUAUUAAGGAAUUUUACACUGUUGUGUCACUUUUUAAAUGUCUGCAUUUUUCUGUCUCUCUCUCUCUCAAUCUCUCUGAAUUUGUUUAUCCAGUGAAUAAAAUUAGGAAGAAGUGGAUGCUGUAAGAAUAUUUAUGUGUUUAAAGGUUGUGGUUGCCCCAUUAUAGUUACUUACCAGCAGCUUCAGCACGCAGUCAGAGACUGUAGAAAAAAGAAUCAUUCUUUUCUCUGAUUUGAGGAUGCAUCUCCAGAGUGUUUCUGGGGUAAUGGAUCUAAAAUCAAAAUUUUAAAUGCUAGUUUUUAAGUGUGAAUUUUUCUUCAGCACUUUUGUUCUCUCCUUAUAACCUUUUAUUUCAUUGAGUUCCAGAGAGCAGACAGCUUAGGUUUCUUGAUUUGGCAGAUCAAUGAGGAAGGAUAACUAAAGAAAGUUUAAAGGUAUCUUUUAUACCAAAAUACCUCACUUCUCUUUCAUUGCAGGUGUAGUUAAAAGCACUAAUGCCAUACCCUAGUUUUCUCACCUCUAUUCUUAUUAUACUUGCUUUCUAUGCUUAAGAUGGCAAUUAACUUAAAUAUCUGAGUUCAUGUAGUUCAUCUAGUAGAUAAACAGUAUCAGUGCUACCUGGAUGUAUUUUUGCAUCACUUAUUUGCAUGAUAGUGUUCAAAAAUUUUUGUGAAUUUCAACCACAGAAAAGACAUAAUAGGGCAAUUCUCAAAGGAAAAUAUAGAAAUGACCCAGUACAAGAACAGUAAAAUAUCUUUCCACCUGUUAAUUUGGUAAAGAUCAGAAUGUGUGUGUUAUGGUUUGAAUGUCUAUGACCCUCCAAAAUUCAUAUAUUGGAACUUAAACCCCAAGGUGAUGAUAUUAAAUGGUAUGGUCUUUGGGAAGUGAUUAGGCUGUGAGGGCUUUGCCCUCAUAAAUGGGAUUAAUGUGGGUAUAAAAGAGGAAUCAGAGAGCUGCCUGGCUUUUCCAUCUCUUCUGCCAUGUGAGGGCAGUGUCUGUCUCUUUCCCUUUCUGCCAUGUGAGGACACAACAAGAAGUCACCAUCUUGAAAACAGAGAGCAGCCAUCACCAGACACCAAAUCUGCCAGUGCCUUGAUCUUGGACUGCUCAACCUCUAAAACUGGGAGAAAUAAAUUUCAUUAUUUAUAAAUUACCCAGUCUGGGUAUGUUUUUAAUAGCAGCAUGGAUGGACAAAGACAGUGUGUAACACUCAGUAUCAACAAACUCCAAGGAAAUGGGCACCCUGAUACUCUAUUGUGUAGUGUAAAUUCACACAAAUUUUGGAGAGCAAUUUGGCAAUAUAUAUCAAAAUCUUAAAAAAGUUCUAGGCACAAGAACCCUGUUUUAGAAAUUAAGUCUAUUGGAGUAGUCUGCAGGAAGUUGUGUCUGUAAAUUUGUUUAUCACAGUUCUGUUUAUACUGGAAGAUAACCCUCAAGAAAUGUUAUAUAUCUAAUAAUAGAGGAUUACAAUUACAUGAUGAAAUUUUGUAUAGACAUCAAAAUUAUAUUAUAUAUAUUAUAUAUUAUAGAAAAAUAAAAAUGUUUAUGAAAUGUGAAGGAAAAAAUAUCAUAGGUUAUAAAACAGUUUUCCUUCAAGCCCAUUUCGGUUAAAUUUAUAUAUUUAUGUUAUAUUCUGUAAAUAUUUAUAUUGAAAUGUCCACAGUAACUGUAUAUAAUGGAAGUUGCAGUAAUGCUAACAGGUUUUCCUGACUUAUCUAUAUAUUUUUCAAUUUGCUACAAUAAACAUAUAUUUUUUCUAGAUGGAUAAACAAAGCUGCUUUUUUAUUUUAAACAAAAGAGAUCAGUAAGAUUAUUUUAUUUUCCAAUCAGAUUCUAAGCUCUCUGGGGCAAGAUUCAGCUUAUGAAGUAUCAGAUAACAAACAUAAUAGAUAAAUCUUUGUUUUUCAGCUAUGUGGAUUAUUUUUCUAAAGCAGUCUGGAUGAAUUUUUUAGGGAAAGAUCAACUCUUUAAAAAAUUUACAUUUUUCUUUUGUUGAAUAAGACCAAUAGCAUUGAUGCUAUUAUAAAAGAUAAAUAAAAACCACAGAAAAAUAAACUUGGUUGAGCCUGUUGGGAAAACAUUUAUGGACAAACUAUAUUUUCAAAGAGCUUUGACUAACAUCACUUUAAAUCUUAAAUCUUUCUUGUCCUUCUGGGUGUUCUUUCAUGAAUGAAAAAAACAGAAAGGCUUAAAAAAGAAAUUCCUGCUCACCAUCUCCCUAAAGCACCAUCUCCCUUGCUGCUUUCGGUUGACUCUCAUCAGUUCCUGAGUUCUAGCUAAAAGUUGGGACUUCACAUCAUUGGAAGGUGAAUAGAAAAGUAUGUCUUAAGAAUUUCACCAUGUUUUGGAAGAAUUGCAGCAAGAAAAAAAGAACUCCUUUGUUUCCACCCCAUUUCUUUUAAGGAAAACCUGGAAUAUCUGAGGGUGCAAGCUGAGAAAAGUCUGCUUAUCUGUUCCCUACUCUGGCAAUCAAAAAGGAUCCAAGUCUACUGUUCUCUUCUCCUGGCACUCUUAACUUGCACACAUUGCAACCUUUUAUGGCAAAGUAAUGGUCAAGCUAUCCUAACAAGGACGAGCCCUUAUUAAAUAAUUCACUGUGGUUGGGAAAUGGUGAGGAAGCCAUCUUCUUUUGUCUUCUUUUCUCUGAAAAUAAAAUUUUGUCUAAUUUUGUAUUAAGGACAUUUGGGCUUCACUUUAUUACAUUCUCUACUUUCUUUAAUAGCUCGAAGCUCAUGACAGUACAUGUCUGGUCUUGCAAAACAAGAUGAAUUUGUUAAAUUAAACUUUUAAAAAAAAUCA